AAGGAUUUUUUUUUAAUAUAUAUAUAUAUUUUUUCCAGUGGGUUAAUGGACAUCGGUAAGUAAAAGCUAAAAAGGGAGGAACAAAUGGCCUGUCUUCACACUGGAGGAAGUUUCUCCAUUGAGAAGCCAGAGCUGUCCACUCUUCGAUGAACUCAUAAGUUUCUGAGGAAAUGGGUGACUACUGAGUGACAGAUUGUUGGAAAUAUAAAGUCAUUUGGGACGGUUAUUCAGGAUUGCUCUUGGUGGAGAAAUACAGCUCUUAUGAUUCUGAGCAGCUACAUGAGAAAAUGUCAGGACUUUGUAUUGAUGGAAAUAAAAUUUUACAUUCAGUAAUGGCAGGAUGUAGCUCCAGCAGCGCAAACUCAGAGCUCAGAAUGAGUGAUCAGCUUUUUAGGAAGGAGUUUCCAAGGUCAUUAAAAGAACUUGUUGGAAAAUGUCAGCUCAAUGCCACUGAAGAGCCCUCUUUGGAGUAUUUUCCUUCCUGCUGACCAACAGAAAUGCUCCCAUCAGGGAAACCUGAGGCCAGCACUCCUCUCAACCCAAGAAAGUGCUGGUACGGGAGCAGCAGCACAGUGUUCUAAGGGGAGCUGCGUUGUCUGGGUAGAACAAGUCUUCCCUGUCGCAUGGCAUAGAGGUAACUCUAUUUCAUGAAGUCAACUGCUUUUGAAUUUUUAUCAGUAGAUCUUGAAAUUAUUCAUGCAGGACAUAAAAAGAAUUAUUUCUAUCUUAAAUAUGAGGAAACAGCGUAAGUGCACGCACAGAGGAGCAGAGACUCUCUCUUCCUACCCCAACCUGUGACACCACUUCAGGUGGGAUAAGUGUGUUUGCCUUGAGCACCUCAGUGAUGGGAGACAGAGAAGAUGUCCUGGAGAAGGUUUGCCCUUGAUUUUGGUUGGAAGAUCUUCCAAAAUGUAUCAAGUCCUCAUCUCCUGAUGUGCAGUAGUGUGGCAUGUGUGUUAACCUGCUCAGGCCCUUAAAACAGGUGGUGCAUUAGCUGAAAGCUAGACAAACAUUCAUAACCC
This 1022-nucleotide long non-coding RNA is filed under the name Numida meleagris (helmeted guineafowl). RNAcentral's name for it is "lncRNA (ENSNMEG00000014000.1)". The record is from RNAcentral. Lineage: Eukaryota; Metazoa; Chordata; Aves; Galliformes; Numididae.